CAGCAGCCGCGGUAAUACGAAGGGUGCAAGCGUUAAUCGGAAUUACUGGGCGUAAAGCGUGCGUAGGCGGUGAGUUAAGUCUGCUGUGAAAUCCCCGGGCUCAACCUGGGAAUGGCAGUGGAUACUGGCUCGCUAGAGUGUGUCAGAGGAUGGUGGAAUUCCCGGUGUAGCGGUGAAUGCGUAGAGAUCGGGAGGAACAUCAGUGGCGAAGGCGGCCAUCUGGGACAACACUGACGCUGAGGCACGAAAGCGUGGGGAGCAAACAGGAUUAGAUACCCGCGUAGUCCCUGUCUCUUAUACA
RNAcentral lists this ribosomal RNA (301 nucleotides) under uncultured bacterium. RNAcentral describes it as "partial 16S ribosomal RNA". It matches the Rfam family "Bacterial small subunit ribosomal RNA", at positions 509 to 808 of the family's 1533-position model. The record is from RNAcentral.